Molecule: ribosomal RNA, 480 nt
Filed under: uncultured bacterium
Lineage: Bacteria
Description: bacterial SSU rRNA
Rfam family: Bacterial small subunit ribosomal RNA
Source: RNAcentral
AGAGUUUGAUCCUGGCUCAGGAUUAACGCUGGCGGCAUGCCUAAUACAUGCAAGUCGAAUGAGAAGCUUGCUUCUCAUGGCGAACGGGUGAGUAACACGUAGGUAACCUGCCUUACACUCGAGGAUAACCGUUGGAAACGACGGAUAAUACUGGAUAGGACAGAGAUUCGCAUGAAGCUCUGUUUAAAAGCAAUGGUGUAUGAGGGGCCUGCGGUGCAUUAGCUAGUUGGUGAGGUAACGGCUCACCAAGGCGAUGAUGCAUAGCUGGACUGAGAGGUUGAACAGCCACAAUGGGACUGAGAACGGCCCAUACUCCUACGGGAGGCAGCAGUAGGGUAAUUUUCGGCAAUGGGGGAAACCCUGAACCCGAGCAAUGCCGCGUGAACGAUGAAGUAUUUCGGUAUGUAAAGUUCUUUUAUUAGGAAAGAUAGUGACGGUACCUAAUGAAUAAGCUCCGGCUAACUACGUGCCAGCAGCCGC